Long non-coding RNA from Neltuma alba, 416 nucleotides. RefSeq lists it as uncharacterized. The record is from RefSeq and is a predicted model, not a curated record. The transcript is spliced from 3 exons. NCBI's taxonomy places the organism in Eukaryota, Viridiplantae, Streptophyta, Magnoliopsida, Fabales, Fabaceae.
UGCUUCAGCUUCAAACUCCUUUCUGUGGGCACGUUUCCAGUCCCUCUUCCAUCUUCAGCCACCUCUUCGUCCCUGCUUCUCAUCUUCCUCAAUACGCCACGUUUUGUUCUUGAGUGGCAAGAUCCUCAUCUCCUUCGCUGACACGGUGCUUCUCAAAGAAGCCAAGGAGGAAUUAUAAAUACAGCGAAGAUGAAUGUAUAGAGAGAGAGGGAAGGAAACCGCGGGAAUCCGAGGAGCAAGUCGAAGGGAAAGAAGAAGAGGAAGGAGGGAGGAUUUGCCACAUGCAAUCUGAUCUUUGAACCAAGGUUUUAAUUGGUGGCUUGGUUUACUAAGAAGAAACUCAAACCAAGAUACCCGGAAAGAAAGGGCCCAAUUCAUCCAAGAGGAAAGAGGAGUUGGUGGAAGGAUAGCUAAGG